CCCUUAGAUGUUCUGGGCUGCACGCGCGCUACACUGAUGCGUUCAACGAGCUUAUAACCUUGGCCGAAAGGUCUGGGUAAUCUCCAAAUUUCGUCGUGAUGGGGAUAGAUUAUUGCAAUUAUUAAUCUUCAACGAGGAAUGCCUAGUAAGCGCAAGUCAUCAGCUUGCGUUGAUUACGUCCCUGCCCUUUGUACACACCGCCCGUCGCUCCUACCGAUUGAAUGGUCCGGUGAAGCGUUCGGACCGUGGCCUUUGGACGGUUCGCCGUCUGUUGGCUGCGGGAAGUUCGUUAAACCUUAUCAUUUAGAGGAAGGAGAAGUCGUAACA
This 327-nucleotide ribosomal RNA is filed under the name uncultured eukaryote. Its description in RNAcentral is "partial 18S ribosomal RNA". It matches the Rfam family "Eukaryotic small subunit ribosomal RNA", at positions 1470 to 1796 of the family's 1831-position model. The record is from RNAcentral.